CAAGGCUGUUGCAUGGGGUUUCACUCAUGAAGAUGAUGCUUUGAGAAUGUAUGAAAAGGACUUUGAUGCAGCUGUAGAGCAGUCAGGGAUAUGGUUGCAUGAAUCCGGAGUGUUGGGAGCUUCACCUGAUGGCUUAGUUGUUCGACCACCAACAUGCAGUGUAUUUUAUCAAACUCCAGAAGCCAAAGACGCCAUUCCUGAUAUUGUAGAGGUGAAGUGUCCAUAUACAGCAUCGUCUUCAACAGUAGCAGAAAAUUUGAAGGAUUUUUCAUAGAUCUUAAACAAGAUAUCCUGUUCCUGAAAACCAGUCACCCAUACCAUCAUCAAAUUCAGGGCCAGCUACACAUAUGUAACAAAACAUGAUAGCGACUUAAUUGUGUGGACAAGAGUAGACUGCAUUGUGAUUAGAAUAGUAAAAGACAUUGAAUGGACAGCAAACGUUUCAAAGCUGAUAGAUAUCUACUUUAACAUUUUCAUUCCAGCACUGAUGGAAAACUGAGUUCUUGUUUCAACUUCUUGACACUUGGUUUUGUACCUCUAGAAUUUUCUAACAAUGGAAAAUGGGUAAUCAUGUUAAAUGUGUUGAAUGUUCCUAAAUCUUAUAAAUGUAUGAUAUGAUAUGUCACAAUCCAUCAUAAAACUUCUGGCUUAUAAGACUAUUUUAAAUAGCAAUGAUGAUUAAUAAAAUCUAUGUACUACAUAAAAAAGAAUAUCAAA
Saccostrea cuccullata (small rock oyster) is the source of this 717-nucleotide long non-coding RNA. RefSeq lists it as uncharacterized. NCBI's taxonomy places the organism in Eukaryota, Metazoa, Mollusca, Bivalvia, Ostreida, Ostreidae. The record is from RefSeq and is a predicted model, not a curated record. The transcript has 3 exons.